UUUUUUUUUUUUUACAUACAUCUUCGAUAAGAUUUUGUGUUAAAAGUGGCGACGGCAAACUCUCUAUGGCUUAGACUAUAAUUAGAACAUUUCUGCUAUUGGUUCUCACUUUCGGUUUGCUGGUGUUUUGAUUUUUUCAUAGUGAAGGUGCCUAAGGAAAGGGUCAGGGAUAAGGAUGAGUCAGCAGAGAAUCCAAGCCUUUGUGACUUAUAUUCAAAUAUCUGCAAUGUGUACGGCGGUAGACUGGUUUUACUUGUAGAAUAAUAAAUGACAAAGAGCUUGAGUGAGAUAUAAGGAGUGAUGAAGGAGCUACAUAAACUAUAGCGAGCUGCAUGAAGUAGUGAGAUACAUGAAGUAGCUAUAUGAAGGAGUGAUGAAAAAGCUAUAUGAAAGUGAUGACAAAGCUAUAUGAAGGAGUGAUGAAGGAGCUACAUACAUUACAUUGUAUAUACAAAAGGGAAGAUGUUUUUAUCUGCACGUCUUUGAAAGAAUUCAAGUCUGCAUUCGGAGUUUGAGGACUAGUGUUAAUAUGUUCAAACAGAUAUCUUAGGUUUGUAAUGAAUGUAUUGGCUUUAUCACAUUGAUCUUAUAUACGUUUGUUUUUAUUAAUGAU
This is a long non-coding RNA of Pyrus x bretschneideri (Chinese white pear), 613 nucleotides long. RefSeq lists it as uncharacterized. The record is from RefSeq and is a predicted model, not a curated record. The transcript has 3 exons. NCBI's taxonomy places the organism in Eukaryota, Viridiplantae, Streptophyta, Magnoliopsida, Rosales, Rosaceae.